This 232-nucleotide ribosomal RNA is filed under the name uncultured bacterium. RNAcentral describes it as "partial 16S ribosomal RNA". It matches the Rfam family "Bacterial small subunit ribosomal RNA", at positions 118 to 347 of the family's 1533-position model. The record is from RNAcentral.
UGAGCAAUCUGCCCUUCUCAUCGGAAUAAGCGUUGGAAACGACGUCUAAUGCCGAAUACGACCUCCUUUCGCAUGAUCGGAGGUGGAAAGCUCCGGCGGAGAAGGAUGAGCUCGCGGCCUAUCAGCUAGUUGGUGUGGGUAAUGGCCCACCAAGGCGACAACGGGUAGCCGGCCUGAGAGGGUGACCGGCCACACUGGGACUGAGACACGGCCCAGACUCCUACGGGAGCAG